ACGGGUGAGUAAUGCCUAGGAAUCUGCCUGGUAGUGGGGGAUAACGCUCGGAAACGGACGCUAAUACCGCAUACGUCCUACGGGAGAAAGCAGGGGACCUUCGGGCCUUGCGCUAUCAGAUGAGCCUAGGUCGGAUUAGCUAGUUGGUGAGGUAAUGGCUCACCAAGGCGACGAUCCGUAACUGGUCUGAGAGGAUGAUCAGUCACACUGGAACUGAGACACGGUCCAGACUCCUACGGGAGGCAGCAGUGGGGAAUAUUGGACAAUGGGCGAAAGCCUGAUCCAGCCAUGCCGCGUGUGUGAAGAAGGUCUUCGGAUUGUAAAGCACUUUAAGUUGGGAGGAAGGGCAUUAACCUAAUACGUUAGUGUUUUGACGUUACCGACAGAAUAAGCACCGGCUAACUCUGUGCCAGCAGCCGCGGUAAUACAGAGGGUGCAAGCGUUAAUCGGAAUUACUGGGCGUAAAGCGCGCGUAGGUGGUUUGUUAAGUUGGAUGUGAAAUCCCCGGGCUCAACCUGGGAACUGCAUUCAAAACUGACAAGCUAGAGUAUGGUAGAGGGUGGUGGAAUUUCCUGUGUAGCGGUG
RNAcentral lists this ribosomal RNA (585 nucleotides) under Pseudomonas sp. StFRB255. Its description in RNAcentral is "bacterial SSU rRNA". It matches the Rfam family "Bacterial small subunit ribosomal RNA", at positions 102 to 683 of the family's 1533-position model. RNAcentral also lists the same sequence under 15 other names. The record is from RNAcentral. Lineage: Bacteria; Pseudomonadati; Pseudomonadota; Gammaproteobacteria; Pseudomonadales; Pseudomonadaceae.